UUCUUUUUUCUUAAAUUCUCUAAGUUUGCUUACUAUUUGUUGUUGUUCAUGUAAUACUAUUGCAGGGGGGAAACCAAAUUCAUUCCGCAACAAAAGCAGGCACUUUGAGAAAGGUUAGUAAGAAUCUUUGUUUACCAAAUUGCAACUCUAAUUGUCAAAAAUAUGUUAUAGAGCAACAUGAAUCUGAACGUUAGGUUAAUCACAAUGAACUCAACUCAACUAAAUAAUAAAGUCUUGAUUGUUUGAAGGUAUUUUCCUAUUGAUGUAUUCGUUGAAGACAACAAAAGAAUUUUGUAUAACAUUGCACGAUUUCUCUCCAAACAUGCCCUCAUUUUCAUAGCCAAAUUUGCAUAAAAUGGCGGCGUCUUCAACUGGAUUCCUCUCUAAAGCAAGGACGGCCUUCCACUAAAGCCAAGAAAGUCUUCACCGACAUACAAAAAAAAAUUGAGAUCUAUGUUUGUGUGUGUGUGUGUAUGUGUAUGUUUUUAAGGUUUGUGUUGAGUUUGUAUCGUAUACUUUAUUAUGUGACUCUUGACUAAUUAUCUGAAUCAUCUCUGAUACUGAAGAUAUGGCCGACCAAUCGUUGUUUGAUGAGAAAAACGAUUCCCUUGAUGAUGUGAUCGUUCAAGGGUGAGUUUAUAUCCAAUCUAAAGCGUUUUUCAAUUUCAAUUGUGAAGUUAGAUUAUGGUGUUCAAAUUGAUAAUUAGAAGAGUAAUCGAUGUAGAUAAGAAAAUAAUAAAAAUGAUAUGUUUAUUAUUUAUUUCUUUUAAUUAUUACUAUUAUAUUGAAAACUGUUGCUUGCUGAAUAUUUUUUUCUUUUUGCAUAGGUGAUCAAUUUCAACUAACUUCAUUUUAUGCAUAUUUAUACAGGAUGUUAACUGACAAGGUUGUUUCAGUAUGUAAGUAUUAACUUUGCGUUUAAUUCGAUGAAUAUAAAUAUAACUUAAUUUUAUUUGUUUUUACCGAUGCUUGUGUUAACAGAAAAAAAGUGUGUAUCCACUCUCAAACGGUGGUGGUAUGUAGAAAAUGGCAAACCAUGUUAAUGCCAAUCGACGGUGGUCACUGGUGAUUGAUGGAGGAACCCGUAUGGUUGUUGAUAUGCAUGGUGAUAUAUGCUUUGUCUCUGGGAAAAAGUGAAGAAUGGUUCAGAAGGUUAUUAGGCAUUUCUGAAGUGCAUUGAACAGUACUGCUCAUAAAUUAUUACUCUACCACAAUUGGAAUUGCAAGUAACCUUAUGUACAUGAUAUGCUCAUGUGUGAAAUGAGGCAGCGAAAGACAAUGUUAACGGAACUUGGUGUGCCUUUGACUUCUAUGAGUUAAACAACAAUGGGGUAGGUUUAACUUUUGUUAAACAAGUAAGUAUAUCCGCUGCUUUAACUGUUCUCUUUUUCAUUGAAUCACACAAUAAACAUCGAUAACAAAGCAACAUGAUUGGAAGCUCAACUUGCGUUGGUCACACCUUUG
Molecule: long non-coding RNA, 1464 nt
Filed under: Helianthus annuus (common sunflower)
Lineage: Eukaryota; Viridiplantae; Streptophyta; Magnoliopsida; Asterales; Asteraceae
Description: hypothetical non coding rna
Source: RNAcentral